RNAcentral lists this ribosomal RNA (254 nucleotides) under uncultured bacterium. RNAcentral's name for it is "partial small subunit ribosomal RNA". It matches the Rfam family "Bacterial small subunit ribosomal RNA", at positions 26 to 285 of the family's 1533-position model. The record is from RNAcentral.
AGGACGAACGCUGGCGGCGUGCUUAACACAUGCAAGUCGAGCGGAAAGGCCCUUCGGGGUACUCGAGCGGCGAACGGGUGAGUAACACGUGAGUAACCUGCCCUUGGCUCUGGGAUAGCUCCGGGAAACCGGAAUUAAUACCGGAUAUGACCACGUUAGACAUCUUUUGUGGUGGAAAGAUUUUAUCGGCCAGGGAUGGGCUCGCGGCCUAUCAGCUUGUUGGUGGGUAACGCCUACCAAGGCGACGACGGGUA